GAUGAACGCUAGCUACAGGCUUAACACAUGCAAGUCGAGGGGCAGCAUGGUCUUAGCUUGCUAAGGCCGAUGGCGACCGGCGCACGGGUGAGUAACACGUAUCCAACCUGCCGUCUACUCUUGGACAGCCUUCUGAAAGGAAGAUUAAUACAAGAUGGCAUCAUGAGUCCGCAUGUUCACAUGAUUAAAGGUAUUCCGGUAGACGAUGGGGAUGCGUUCCAUUAGAUAGUAGGCGGGGUAACGGCCCACCUAGUCGUCGAUGGAUAGGGGUUCUGAGAGGAAGGUCGCUCACAUUGGAACUGGGACACGGUCCAAACGCCUACGGGACGCAGCAGUGAGGAAUAUUAGUCAAUGGGCGAGAGCCUGAACCAGCCAAGUAGCGUGAAGGACGACAGCGCUAUGGGUUGUAAACUUCUUUUAGAAAGGAAUAAAGUCGGGUAUGGAUACCCGUUUGCAUGUACUUUAUGAAUAAGGAUCGGCUAACUCCGUG
Molecule: ribosomal RNA, 490 nt
Filed under: uncultured bacterium
Lineage: Bacteria
Description: partial 16S ribosomal RNA
Rfam family: Bacterial small subunit ribosomal RNA
Source: RNAcentral